GAGGAAAGAGGGGGGCGUGCCUAAUACAUGCAAGUCGAGCGAACAGACGAGGAGCUUGCUCCUCUGACGUUAGCGGCGGACGGGUGAGUAACACGUGGAUAACCUACCUAUAAGACUGGGAUAACUUCGGGAAACCGGAGCUAAUACCGGAUAAUAUAUUGAACCGCAUGGUUCAAUAGUGAAAGACGGUUUUGCUGUCACUUAUAGAUGGAUCCGCGCCGCAUUAGCUAGUUGGUAAGGUAACGGCUUACCAAGGCAACGAUGCGUAGCCGACCUGAGAGGGUGAUCGGCCACACUGGAACUGAGACACGGUCCAGACUCCUACGGGAGGCAGCAGUAGGGAAUCUUCCGCAAUGGGCGAAAGCUUGACGGAGCAACGCCGCGUGAGUGAUGAAGGUCUUCGGAUCGUAAAACUCUGUUAUUAGGGAAGAACAAAUGUGUAAGUAACUAUGCACGUCUUGACGGUACCUAAUCAGAAAGCCACGGCUAACUACGUG
This 497-nucleotide ribosomal RNA is filed under the name uncultured bacterium. Its description in RNAcentral is "partial 16S ribosomal RNA". It matches the Rfam family "Bacterial small subunit ribosomal RNA", at positions 28 to 507 of the family's 1533-position model. The record is from RNAcentral.